GACGAACGCUGGCGGCGUGCUUAACACAUGCAAGUCGAACGGAAAGGCCCUGCUUUUGUGGGGUGCUCGAGUGGCGAACGGGUGAGUAACACGUGAGUAACCUGCCCUUGACUUUGGGAUAACUUCAGGAAACUGGGGCUAAUACCGGAUAGGAGCUCCUGCUGCAUGGUGGGGGUUGGAAAGUUUCGGCGGUUGGGGAUGGACUCGCAGCUUAUCAGCUUGUUGGUGGGGUAGUGGCUUACCAAGGCUUUGACGGGUAGCCGGCCUGGGAGGGUGACCGGCCACAUUGGGACUGAGAGACGGACCAGACUCCUACGGGAGGCAGCAGUGGGGAAUAUUGCACAAUGGGCGGAAGCCUGAUGCAGCAACGCCGCGUGCGGGAUGACGGCCUUCGGGUUGUAAACCGCUUUCGCCUGUGACGAAGCGUGAGUGACGGUAAUGGGUAAAGAAGCACCGGCUAACUACGUG
RNAcentral lists this ribosomal RNA (468 nucleotides) under uncultured bacterium. RNAcentral describes it as "partial 16S ribosomal RNA". It matches the Rfam family "Bacterial small subunit ribosomal RNA", at positions 28 to 507 of the family's 1533-position model. The record is from RNAcentral.